Molecule: ribosomal RNA, 496 nt
Filed under: uncultured bacterium
Lineage: Bacteria
Description: partial 16S ribosomal RNA
Rfam family: Bacterial small subunit ribosomal RNA
Source: RNAcentral
GAUGAACGCUGGCGGCGUGCCUAAUACAUGCAAGUCGAGCGAACGGACGAGAAGCUUGCUUUUCUGAUGUUAGCGGCGGACGGGUGAGUAACACGUGGAUAACCUACCUAUAAGACUGGGAUAACUUCGGAAACCGGAGCUAAUACCGGAUAAUAUUUUGAACCGCAUGGUUCAAAAGUGAAAGACGGUCUUGCUGUCACUUAUAGAUGGAUCCGCGCUGCAUUAGCUAGUUGGUAAGGUAACGGCUUACCAAGGCAACGAUGCAUAGCCGACCUGAGAGGGUGAUCGGCCACACUGGAACUGAGACACGGUCCAGACUCCUACGGGAGGCAGCAGUAGGGAAUCUUCCGCAAUGGGCGAAAGCCUGACGGAGCAACGCCGCGUGAGUGAUGAAGGUCUUCGGAUCGUAAAACUCUGUUAUUAGGGAAGAACAUAUGUGUAAGUAACUGUGCACACCUUGACGGUACCUAAUCAGAAAGCCACGGCUAACUACGUG